AGUGAACUGGAUGGUCGCUGGUCACGCUUCGGCGCGGCGAGAGGAAAGUCCGGGCUCCACAGGACAGGAUGGUCGGUAACGCCGACCGGCCGUGAGGCCAGGGAAAGUGCAGCAGAAAGCAGACCGCCGAUGACCGCGCGCGUUAGCACGCGGAACAGGUAAGGGUGAAACGGUGAGGUAAGAGCUCACCAGCAGGCAAGGUGACUUGCCUGGCUAGGUAAACCCCAUCCGGAGCAAGGCAAACAGAGAGCAGGCGUUGUCCGAGCCGCUAUCGACUCUCGGGUUCGCUGCUGGAGUCGUCAAGCAAUUGCCGACCUAGAUAAAUGACCAUCGCUCGCAGGUCAUCACAGAUGGCCAGCGAGGACAGAACCCGGCUUAUACGUUCGCUC
RNAcentral lists this RNase P RNA (389 nucleotides) under marine eukaryotic metagenome. RNAcentral describes it as "Bacterial RNase P class A". It matches the Rfam family "Bacterial RNase P class A". Rfam says of the family: Ribonuclease P (RNase P) is a ubiquitous endoribonuclease, found in archaea, bacteria and eukarya as well as chloroplasts and mitochondria. Its best characterised activity is the generation of mature 5'-ends of tRNAs by cleaving the 5'-leader elements of precursor-tRNAs. Cellular RNase Ps are ribonucleoproteins. The record is from RNAcentral.